Molecule: non-coding RNA, 28 nt
Filed under: Candidatus Berkiella cookevillensis
Lineage: Bacteria; Pseudomonadati; Pseudomonadota; Gammaproteobacteria; Candidatus Berkiellales; Candidatus Berkiellaceae
Source: RNAcentral
CUUCACCGCCGCACAGGCGGCUUAUAAA